GACGAACGCUGGCGGCGUGCUUAACACAUGCAAGUCGAACGGAAAGGCCUCUUUCGGGGGGUACUCGAGUGGCGAACGGGUGAGUAACACGUGAGUAACCUGCCCUUGACUUUGGGAUAACUUCAGGAAACUGGGGCUAAUACCGGAUAGGAGCUCCUGCUGCAUGGUGGGGGUUGGAAAGUUUCGGCGGUUGGGGAUGGACUCGCGGCUUAUCAGCUUGUUGGUGGGGUAGUGGCUUACCAAGGCUUUGCCGGGUAGCCGGCCUGAGAGGGUGACCGGCCACAUUGGGACUGAGAUACGGCCCAGACUCCUACGGGAGGCAGCAGUGGGGAAUAUUGCACAAUGGGUGGAAGCCUGAUGCAGCAACGCCGUGUGCGGGAUGACGGCCUUCGGGUUGUAAACCGCUUUCGCUCAUGACGAAGCUUUGUGUGACGGUAGUGGGUAAAGAAGCACCGGCUAACUACGUG
RNAcentral lists this ribosomal RNA (467 nucleotides) under uncultured bacterium. Its description in RNAcentral is "partial 16S ribosomal RNA". It matches the Rfam family "Bacterial small subunit ribosomal RNA", at positions 28 to 507 of the family's 1533-position model. The record is from RNAcentral.